This 81-nucleotide ribosomal RNA is filed under the name Triticum aestivum (bread wheat). The record is from RNAcentral. Lineage: Eukaryota; Viridiplantae; Streptophyta; Magnoliopsida; Poales; Poaceae.
GGAUGCGAUCAUACCAGCACUAAAGCACCGGAUCCCAUUAGAACUCUGAAGUUAAGCGUGCUUGGGCGAGAGUAGUANNNN